UGCCAGCCGCCGCGGUAAUACGGAGGAUGCGAGCGUUAUCCGGAUUUACUGGGUGUAAAGGGAGCGCAGACGGCACUGCAAGUCUGAAGUGAAAGCCCGGGGCUCAACCCCGGGACUGCUUUGGAAACUGUAGAGCUAGAGUGCUGGAGAGGCAAGCGGAAUUCCUAGUGUAGCGGUGAAAUGCGUAGAUAUUAGGAAGAACACCAGUGGCGAGGGCGGCUUGCUGGACAGUAACUGACGUUCAGGCUCGAAAGCGUGGGGAGCAAACAGGAUUAGAUA
RNAcentral lists this ribosomal RNA (279 nucleotides) under uncultured bacterium. Its description in RNAcentral is "partial 16S ribosomal RNA". It matches the Rfam family "Bacterial small subunit ribosomal RNA", at positions 506 to 784 of the family's 1533-position model. The record is from RNAcentral.